CCUACGGGUGGCUGCAGUGAGGAAUAUUGGUCAAUGGGCGCGAGCCUGACCCAGCCAAGUCGCGUGAGGGAAGACGGUUCUCUGGAUUGUAAACCUCUUUUGUCGGGGAGCCUAAGACGCCACGCGUGGCGAUCCGAGAGUACCCGAAGAAAAAGCAUCGGCUAACUCCGUGCCAGCAGCCGCGGUAAUACGGAGGUUGCGAUCGUUAUCCGGAUUUAUUGGGUUUAAAGGGUGAGCAGGCGGAAGAUCAAGUCAGCGGUAAAAUUGAGAGGCUCAACCUCUUCGAGCCGUUGAAACUGGUUGUCUUGAGUGAGUGAGAAGUAUGCGGAAUGCGUGGUGUAGCGGUGAAAUGCAUAGAUAUCACGCAGAACUCCGAUUGCGAAGGCAGCAUACCGGCGCUCAACUGACGCUCAGGCACGAAAGUGUGGGUAUCGAACAGGAUUAGAUACCCUAGUAGUC
RNAcentral lists this ribosomal RNA (459 nucleotides) under uncultured bacterium. RNAcentral describes it as "partial 16S ribosomal RNA". It matches the Rfam family "Bacterial small subunit ribosomal RNA", at positions 338 to 795 of the family's 1533-position model. The record is from RNAcentral.